UGGGGAAUAUUGCACAAUGGGCGAAAGCCUGAUGCAGCGACGCCGCGUGAGGGAUGACGGCCUUCGGGUUGUAAACCUCUUUCAGUAGGGACGAAGCGCAAGUGACGGUACCUGCAGAAGAAGCACCGGCUAACUACGUGCCAGCAGCCGCGGUAAUACGUAGGGUGCGAGCGUUGUCCGGAAUUACUGGGCGUAAAGAGCUCGUAGGCGGUUUGUCACGUCGUCUGUGAAAUCCUAGGGCUUAACCCUGGACGUGCAGGCGAUACGGGCUGACUUGAGUACUACAGGGGAGACUGGAAUUGCUUGUGUAGCGGGAGAAUGCACAGAUAUCAGGAAGAACACCGAUGGCGAAGGCAGGUCUCUGGGUAGUAACUGACGCUGAGGAGCGAAAGCAUGGGUGGCGAACAGG
RNAcentral lists this ribosomal RNA (409 nucleotides) under bacterium. RNAcentral describes it as "partial 16S ribosomal RNA". It matches the Rfam family "Bacterial small subunit ribosomal RNA", at positions 355 to 776 of the family's 1533-position model. The record is from RNAcentral.